AAAUAUUAUAUUACGCUUAAUAUUACAUCUAAUAAUGCCUUUCAUGUAAAACUUUCAGUAACGGUAAUUUCGAGAUUUCACGUGACUUCGAGCACGAGACUGCAUGUUCUAAACAAUACCACGACAACGUAGACCGUGCUGCAAUGGCGUGCGUGGCCACUGAUCAACUUCAUUGUGGCUAUAAAUAUAAAAUGUAUGGAUUUGAGAAGAUACAGAUUUGACAAGAGAACCAUUUAAUGUAAUGAAAGAAACCACACCACAUCACAGCAUGAAGCCGCCAGGCGGCUAAUGCAGCAGCCAUAACAAUUUUAAUUGCAAGGAUCUCGUCGGCCCAAUAGUGCGAUGGUCUAACUGCCAACAAAAUCAUACUCCACACCAUUUAAUUAUUUUUUUGUUUUCGUUUCGUACUACUAUAGCCUACUUUAUUUUGAUGUCGGCUAUAUUUUAAAUUAAUUUUCUGACCAAUUUGUACCUAAUAAGCUGCUAAUGUUACUGUAUUAUAAAAAUGUAAAAAUGAGCUUAAGACUCAAUAAAUGUUUAAUAAACUUUCAUUUAUAUGCGAAGAGACUGACCAUUGACAUUAUUUAGAUAAAUACUAAUUAUCAAACCAUUGUUUCUAUUAUAUUAAUUAGUUUUUUUUUUUGCUUGCAAGGACUACCUGUGGUGAUGUCUGGUAUAUAAUGUUUAGUAUUCUUUCUAUUCUGUCAUUUGAAUGUCAAUUGUGAAUUGUAAAUAUGAAAAUUGUAUUUUAAAACAUAUAUUUAAAAUUAUUAUUAGUCGAAUUUUGAAUGUAUGUAUGUAUGUAUCUCACAAAAUGUAAUAUUUUCGUAUGAUGAUAUGAUGUUCAAAUUGUUAAUAUCUCUUGAUAUUAUUAUUUUCCUCGUGCUUUUUACAUGUAACAACGUAAAUAAAUUGUUUCCUUUA
Molecule: long non-coding RNA, 924 nt
Organism: Zerene cesonia (dogface butterfly)
Lineage: Eukaryota; Metazoa; Arthropoda; Insecta; Lepidoptera; Pieridae
Exons: 3
Source: RefSeq, a predicted model, not a curated record